RNAcentral lists this ribosomal RNA (47 nucleotides) under Bulinus truncatus. Its description in RNAcentral is "partial 5.8S ribosomal RNA". The record is from RNAcentral. Lineage: Eukaryota; Metazoa; Mollusca; Gastropoda; Planorbidae. RNAcentral also lists the same sequence under 11 other names.
GGCGGCCUCGGGUCCAUCCCGGGGCCACGCCCGUCUGAGGGUCGGUU